GAUGAACGCUGGCGGCGUGCCUAAUACAUGCAAGUCGAGCGAACAGACGAGGAGCUUGCUCCUCUGACGUUAGCGGCGGACGGGUGAGUAACACGUGGAUAACCUACCUAUAAGACUGGGAUAACUUCGGGAAACCGGAGCUAAUACCGGAUAAUAUAUUGAACCGCAUGGUUCAAUAGUGAAAGACGGUUUUGCUAUCACUUAUAGAUGGAUCCGCGCCGCACUAGCUAGUUGGUAAGGUAACGGCUUACCAAGGCAACGAUGCGUAGCCGACCUGAGAGGGUGAUCGGCCACACUGGAACUGAGACACGGUCCAGACUCCUACGGGAGGCAGCAGUAGGGAAUCUUCCGCAAUGGGCGAAAGCCUGACGGAGCAACGCCGCGUGAGUGAUGAAGGUCUUCGGAUCGUAAAACUCUGUUAUUAGGGAAGAACAAAUGUGUAAGUAACUAUGCACGUCUUGACGGUACCUAAUCAGAAAGCCACGGCUAACUACGUG
This 497-nucleotide ribosomal RNA is filed under the name uncultured bacterium. Its description in RNAcentral is "partial 16S ribosomal RNA". It matches the Rfam family "Bacterial small subunit ribosomal RNA", at positions 28 to 507 of the family's 1533-position model. The record is from RNAcentral.